UACGUAGGGACCAAGCGUUGUUCGGAUUUACUGGGCGUAAAGGGCGCGUAGGCGGCUUAACAAGUCACUUGUGAAAUCUCCGGGCUUAACUCGGAACGGCCAAGUGAAACUGUCAAGCUAGAGUGCAGAAGGGGCAAUCGGAAUUCUUGGUGUAGCGGUGAAAUGCGUAGAUAUCGUAAGGAAGACCAGUGGCGAAGGCGGGUCUCUGGACAGUUCCUGACGCUGAGGCACGAAGGCCAGGGGAGCAAACGGG
RNAcentral lists this ribosomal RNA (253 nucleotides) under uncultured bacterium. Its description in RNAcentral is "partial 16S ribosomal RNA". It matches the Rfam family "Bacterial small subunit ribosomal RNA", at positions 524 to 776 of the family's 1533-position model. The record is from RNAcentral.